This is a long non-coding RNA of Marmota monax (woodchuck), 1901 nucleotides long. RefSeq lists it as uncharacterized. The transcript is spliced from 3 exons. NCBI's taxonomy places the organism in Eukaryota, Metazoa, Chordata, Mammalia, Rodentia, Sciuridae. The record is from RefSeq and is a predicted model, not a curated record.
GAACCUGGAAGCACUUCACUAAGUUACUGAGGCUGGCUUUGAACUUGUGAUCCUCCUACCUCAGCCUCUGGAGCACUGGGAUUACAGGCCUGCGCCACUGCACUAGAGAAGAGAUGAAAAAUGCUUGGCAUCAUUAGUCAUUAGGGGAAUGCACAUGACAGUGUAAUAAGAUACCACCACAGUGUGUUAGAAGGCAGGAAGUUAAAGAGACUAACCACAGGGGUGGGGAGAGGUUGACCUGAGCUACAGUUAGACAGGAGGAGGAAACUCGGGUGUGCUUUGCACACAAGGGUGACUACAGGUAACAAUCAUGUAUUAUAUAUGUCAAAGAACCAUGAGAGGACUCUGAACGUCUUUCCCAUGAAGAAAUGAUGAGAAGACAGAUAGGUCCACCUGAUGUAAACAUUGCUCAGUUCUCGGCAGACACAACAUCUUUGUUUGUAUGUGGUGCUGAGGAUCGAACCCGGGCCGCACGCAUGGCAGCCUCCUAGCACGGUCUGCUUCCUGAAGGUGGAGCCAUGCCGCGUGCCCACGCGAAGAUCCGUAUUCCUGGGUGCCUGCUCCGUCCUGGCGUGACCCGGGCCCACUUUCUCUGCCCUUGGUUCCCUGGUUCCCCCCCACCCCCGUCUCUCCCUCUCUCUCUGUCUCUCACACACACACACACAGCCUCUGUGGGCAGCACUCAGGGACCAGCUCCACAACCAAAAGCCAAACCACGACAGUGACGGCCCCACCCAGAAGCUGUCGGCGUGGAGGGCGGCCAUGAGGCCUGUUAUGCAAUUUCCUGCGUUGGUUUCUCAGACGCAGAGGCAGGAUGCAGAGCGCUGUGCGGAACCCAGAGAAGAAACCAGAUCCCAGUGCCCACUGUGGCUGCUCGGGCACCCUUACCCCUCAGUUCUGCAGGAAGGCCGCCCACCACCGCGGCCUAGCUAGACGGCCCGGCUGGAAGGGCCACAGAGGACAGGCCGCACAGAGACUUCCGGGAAGAAGUGGGUGGGGAGAAAGGCAUUUCCUGCCCCAAGGACCCGGGAUGGAGGGAGCUACAGCUUGGGGCCUUCUUAAUAGUAGUAACUGGUGUGAGUCACCACUCAGGCCCUGUAGGCAGGAGCGAGAGGCUGGCUCUGGGCCAGGGUUCGAAUCCUGGCUCUGCCUCUUCACAGGCACAUGCCUGAGGUGGCUCCUUGAUUCUGCUCUGUAUCUCUUCAUCUGUGAAAUGUGGGUAACACCUCCCAGUGGGACUAUGUGAGGACACUGUAGGACGCGGUGAGUUCCCUCCUGGCACGUUAUGCCAUGUCGGCCAGGAGGCAGCCACUCUGAGGAUCCCUUCCUGUAUGAGGUCUGAGUGUCUGCCAAAGCUGCACACAGGUGGCCUUGACCCCUUGGUCCACCUGGAGUAAGCCCAGACCCAGCUAACAGCCCCCUCAGAGAAGCAGGCUUCAGCUGGAGGGGAGGACUUCCCCUGGGUACAGCCCACCUGCCCCCCCCGGCAGGUUUGGAGGCCUACAGGGUGGGCUGAGGAGAACCCAGUCUGAACUCUGAUCACCCCAGACAACAGGUUCUGCUGUUUGUCCCAAAGCCAAGCUGCUCUCAAGUCCCAGCUUGACUGCCAGCUUGCCACCCUCCUCCAUGCAGGGCACUGACCACCUCCUCCACCUAGAUGCUGGCCAGGGGCACUUCUGGGUGCAGAGAUCCCCCAGCUGUGGACAGGAGCAGCUGUGCUGAGGGACUGGCUGGCCUCCCCACCUGCAGGUCCUCAGCACCAGAACCCCAGCCUCACACCGUCCUCCCCUACCAGUGGCCCCGUGGCCACCACACCAAGCCAUCAUCCCCGAAAUGAAUCACCACCCCAGAAACACCCAGAUCCUAGCCAGGCCUACUUUAAAAUUAACUUUAUUUCUCUU